GAACUGCGAUAAGUAAUGUGAAUUGCAGAAUUCAGUGAAUCAUCGAGUCUUUGAACGCACAUUGCGCCCCCUGGCAUUCCGGGGGGCAUGCCUGUCCGAGCGUCAUUGCUGCCCUUCAAGCCCGGCUUGUGUGUUGGGUCGUCGUCCCCUCCGGGGGACGGGCCCGAAAGGCAGCGGCGGCACCGCGUCCGGUCCUCGAGCGUAUGGGGCUUUGUCACCCGCUCGAUAAGGACCGGCCGGGCGCCAGCCGGCGUCUCCAACCUUUUUUUCUCAGGUUGACCUCGGAUCAGGUAGGGAUACCCGCUGAACUUUAGC
RNAcentral lists this unclassified non-coding RNA (315 nucleotides) under plant metagenome. RNAcentral describes it as "partial contains 5.8S ribosomal RNA, internal transcribed spacer 2, and large subunit ribosomal RNA". The stretch from base 1 to 105 matches the Rfam family "5.8S ribosomal RNA", at positions 50 to 154 of the family's 154-position model. The record is from RNAcentral.